GACAAGAUGCAUGUGUUGAAGGUGCCAGUAGGGAGAAGACCCCAAGAAAGAAUAUCCAACCACUUCGUUGACUGAAGAGGGUGGAAAGACUCUUCUUAAGCAAUUGGAAGCUCAUCUGGACUCGCUGCCAGCAGAGGUCUUUACAGAUGAUGGACAACUUUGUAUCUACAUUCAUAGGCUGAUGAAGAAGCUAUACUGGAAAUACAGAUUCGGGACUUAGGUUCCAGAAUCAGGGGAGAGAAUACCAGGUCAUGAGAGGCUGGUCAGCACCUCUGCACCAUUGAGAAGGCCAUGUUGGAGAUACUGAAGCCUCAGCUAGACGAGUUCCAGGUGAACCUGA
Molecule: long non-coding RNA, 340 nt
Organism: Myiozetetes cayanensis
Lineage: Eukaryota; Metazoa; Chordata; Aves; Passeriformes; Tyrannidae
Exons: 3
Source: RefSeq, a predicted model, not a curated record